UCAGCUCGUGUCGUGAGAUGUGGUUAGUCCGCAACGAGCGCAACCCCUACUUGUUAGUUGCCAUCAUUCAGUUGGGCACUCUAGCGAGACUGCCGGUAAUAAACCGGAGGAAGGUGGGGAUGACGUCAAAUCAUCAUGCCCCUUAUGACCUGGGCUACACACGUGCUACAAUGGUUGGUACAACGAGUUGCGAGUCGGUGACGGCGAGCUAAUCUCUUAAAGCCAAUCUCAGUUCGGAUUGUAGGCUGCAACUCGCCUACAUGAAGUCGGAAUCGCUAGUAAUCGCGGAUCAGCACGCCGCGGUGAAUACGUUCCCGGGCCUU
This 323-nucleotide ribosomal RNA is filed under the name uncultured Streptococcus sp. RNAcentral describes it as "bacterial SSU rRNA". It matches the Rfam family "Bacterial small subunit ribosomal RNA", at positions 1055 to 1382 of the family's 1533-position model. Lineage: Bacteria; Bacillati; Bacillota; Bacilli; Lactobacillales; Streptococcaceae. The record is from RNAcentral.